CAUAAAUCCAGUAUAAUACAACAGUAAAAAAAAAUAACCUCUGAAUUUGGAACCUGUCAUUCUCAUAUUAAUAUUUAUUAUGUUUCCUCGUGUUCACGCCAAUCUUUGUUAAAUAUUUGUGUAAUAAUAAAAUGGAGUGGGGGUGAUAAAUAGAACAGAAUUGCUGUGAUUUUACUCUAUGUUAUUAAAUGUAACACAAAAAACAGGAAUUAUGAUUUCAGUCUGGCGUCACUAGGUCUCUUUAAGCGUAGGUACGUAUUAGAAAAAUUUAUACCCGCCUGGAAUUCAACAACGGUACAUCACUCAACAAAUCGCGCACCGGACGACUUAUCCCUUAGGCCACGACGACUUCAAGUAUUCAAUUGAUUAUAUUCAUGGGCGACAAUCACCCUUAUUUAGACCGGGAAAAGAUAUGUCUAUGAAUUAUGUUUUUUAAUUUAAUACUAUUUUGUGAAUUGUGAACUUAGUGAACUUAAUGAUAAAAUAUUAAUUUUGCUGCACAUGCAACCUAUUUUUUUGUUUUCUUCCUACCUAUGCUGAUAGCCUUGAGAGGCUAUUUCAGCUUCUCCUUGACGUGUAGGUGAGCUCACGGGACUCUAACCAGAAGUGUUGCUAACACUGGCCCUAGCCAGAGCACUGCUUCGCAGAAUCUAGCACCGGAUCGGAAACGCGACCCAGUGAGAAGAUCCGGCGAGAAACGCAGUAGGCUGUGUCUAUGGGUUAAUUCACUCGUCGAACUCUCCGUCGCAAGCGACGGGUUCGACGAAGAGGUGGCCGUUAAUGGAUCGGGAGGAUCCGUAAUGAUGUAACACAGGCAGAAAAUUCUGCAAUAUGUUGAAAUGGAAGGCCGGCGUCAAGAAUUUGCGAUGUAGUCUCCACCUGGGGCCUUGAAACGAUGCAAUGUGCGUUACCCAACUAGAAAAUAUGUUUGUUGAAGAAAGGUUUUCUUAAAGGAAUAUAUUUUUGUAUUUUGCUUUUUUCUAGACUCCCUUAACUAUAGAUGAACCGUAAGUUCCUCUUUAUAAUGUUUAUACAAAGAUUGCAUUAGACAAAAUACAUGAUUAAAACUUUUA
Long non-coding RNA from Bombyx mori (domestic silkworm), 1073 nucleotides. RefSeq lists it as uncharacterized. NCBI's taxonomy places the organism in Eukaryota, Metazoa, Arthropoda, Insecta, Lepidoptera, Bombycidae. The record is from RefSeq and is a predicted model, not a curated record. The transcript has 3 exons.